RNAcentral lists this transfer RNA (60 nucleotides) under Ochotona pusilla (steppe pika). RNAcentral's name for it is "tRNA-Ser". The record is from RNAcentral. Lineage: Eukaryota; Metazoa; Chordata; Mammalia; Lagomorpha; Ochotonidae.
GAGAAAGUUUUGCAAGGACUGCUAACCCCUGCUCCCAUACUUAACAGUAUGGCUUCCUCA